AACGAACGCUGGCGGCAUGCCUAACACAUGCAAGUCGAACGAGACCUUCGGGUCUAGUGGCGCACGGGUGCGUAACGCGUGGGAACCUGCCCUUAGGUUCGGAAUAACUCCCCGAAAGGGGUGCUAAUACCGGAUAAUGUCUUCGGACCAAAGAUUUAUCGCCGUUGGAUGGGCCCGCGUUGGAUUAGCUAGUUGGUAGGGUAAAAGCCUACCAAGGCGACGAUCCAUAGCUGGUCUGAGAGGAUGAUCAGCCACACUGGGACUGAGACACGGACCAGACUCCUACGGGAAGCAGGAGUGGGGAAUAUUGGACAAGGGGGGAUAGUCUGAUCCAGCAAUGCCGGGUGAGUGAUGAAGGCCGUAGGGAUGUAAAGCUCUUUUACACGGGACGAUAAUGACGGUACCGGGAGAAUAAGCACCGGCUAACUACGUG
Molecule: ribosomal RNA, 433 nt
Filed under: uncultured bacterium
Lineage: Bacteria
Description: partial 16S ribosomal RNA
Rfam family: Bacterial small subunit ribosomal RNA
Source: RNAcentral